RNAcentral lists this long non-coding RNA (2080 nucleotides) under Homo sapiens (human). RNAcentral describes it as "HSALNT0299436". Lineage: Eukaryota; Metazoa; Chordata; Mammalia; Primates; Hominidae. The record is from RNAcentral.
CCACUGCACUGCAGAAUUUAACGAUUUUUAGUAAAUGUAUAGUUGUACAGCCAUCACAAAAAUCUGAUUUUAGAACGUUUGUAUCAUCUACCUAAAAGUUCCCUGUGUUCAUUUGGAGUCAAUACCCCUUUUGACUACAUACCCAGACACCUAGAAGUGAAAUGACUGGGUCAUAUUGAUACGGCAGCAGCAGGCAGUCCUGAGCGGCCGCUGCCAUCGCGCCGGCUGCAGCGGAAAGGUACAAGCGGUGGCGGCAGGAGCCGCUGUGGGAGCAGCAGUGGCGGCAGUGGGAGCCCUGUGCCACGCGUCCCCUGUGCGCCGUGUCCCCAAGGCAGCUGACUACACCUCCCCCACCCUCCUGCAGCAGGGUGGAUCCCACCUAGCGGGACUCCCCACCCACCCCUCCAGGCCUUCUCCACUCCGGACUCUGGCCACUUGCCACCGUUGUCGCCCGCCGCCGCUGCAGGGAGGGUGCACGGAGGGAGCAGACCGUCUCCGGAGCCCGCCGCCCUGGGGGCUGCAGUGAUGGGGCCGGGCUGAGGCACCUGCCGGCGGGGUAGCAGGGCAGUCGAGCACGGAGGGAGGGGCGGGCCUCCAGGGGACUUCAGCGGGAGCCGGGCCUGGGGCGGUGCCGCACUUGCACACGGAGUGUGGGGGGCCAGGCCUGGGACCAGGAGCUGGGGCCGGGCUUCGGCGCAGAGGCAGGAAGAGGAAGCGGCACCCGCUUCGGGGACCCAGCCGGCGGCCAGGCCACCGCGCCCACCCGGCCGAUGGCACCGUGUUCCUGCGCCUCGGGAGGGAGGAGGCUCUGCGCGGGACUGCAGGUUCUGCCCCGCAUCGGAGUGAUCGCUGAGCCUGACGCUCUCGAAGGCUGGGCCUGGGGCCCGCAAUCUACUCCGGAGGCUUUCCCACUGGGCAGGGUCGCUAGCAGGGUGAGAGAAAGCCCCGGGCCAUCCCCGAGUGCCGGGGCCACAGGAAGAAUUUGUGGCGACAUCAUCCCUUCCCCAGGUGCCACCCGGGUGCAGUGAGGACCUGGAGCCCCUGCCCCAGGCUGUGAGGAGACUUGACCAGAGCUGCCUGAAUGCUCCACGGAGCAGCAGGAGGAAGCAUUCCCAUGUGAAAGAUGAGCUCCCUAUAAAAGCAACGCUCUUAUCAUCGAGAACAGAAAGUUGAAGCCAAGAGAGAGCUCCACAAGCUGACCUUGUUAAACUAACCCUUAUCUUCUUAGUCGCUUCUUUACCCAAUUAACUACCCUAGCCGAAGCCCCUUUGCCUUAUUACAUUUUGCAACAGUGUUCGUUGUCCAAUUCAGUAUACAAGUGAGUGACUCUGGAUGCUUUUUGGGGUCUUCGUUUCCUUAUGAGGGCUUCUGUGCCAUGUAAAACUUGUAUUAAAUAAAUUUGUAUGCUUUUCUCCUGUUAAUCUGUCUAUAUCGAUUGAACUUUAGGGUCCAGUCAGAACCCAAAGAGGAUGGAGGUGGAGUUUUGGCUCCUCUACAGCUAUCUGAAUAAUCAAAAUUCAAGAUAUUCCAUGUUCUUUCUGAGUUUCUUUGAAAUUAAAAAUGCAGACAACCACUCAACUAAUACGUCAGCGAGAUACGUUUUCUGUCCUUAUUGCCUUACUGAUGAAAUUGCCUUUAUUCAUAAAAAAUAAAUGUGGGAGUCUUGUUUAUUUAUUUCUAAUGACAUUAACUUGACAUUAACCUUGGUGCUCUUGGGAACCAUAAAUGGGCCCUGUACUACUUGUUACAGAGUAUAAAUUCCCAGAACUACAAGUACAUCAUAUUCCUCAAGUUACUGAAGAAUUUCAUGAUCCAUGUGUCAGGCCUCUGAGCCCAAGCUAAGUCAUCAUAUCCCCUGUGACCUGCACGUAUACAUCCAGAUGGCCGGUUCCUGCCUUAACUGAUGACAUUCCACCACAAAAGAAGUGAAAAUGGCCUGUUCCUGCCUUAACUGAUGACAUUGUCUUGUGAAAUUCCUUCUCCUGGCUCAUCCUGGCUCAAAAGCUCCCCCACUGAAUACCUUGUGACCCCCAACUCCUGCCCGCCAGAGAGCCACCCCCCUUUUUCCUUUACCUACCCA